Molecule: ribosomal RNA, 375 nt
Filed under: uncultured bacterium
Lineage: Bacteria
Description: bacterial SSU rRNA
Rfam family: Bacterial small subunit ribosomal RNA
Source: RNAcentral
UAAUACGUAGGGUGCGAGCGUUAAUCGGAAUUACUGGGCGUAAAGCGUGCGCAGGCGGUUCGUUAAGUCUGAUGUGAAAGCCCCGGGCUCAACCUGGGAAUGGCAUUGGAAACUGGCGGGCUGGAGUGUGGCAGAGGGGGGUGGAAUUCCACGUGUAGCAGUGAAAUGCGUAGAGAUGUGGAGGAACACCGAUGGCGAAGGCAGCCCCCUGGGCCAACACUGACGCUCAGGCACGAAAGCGUGGGGAGCAAACAGGAUUAGAUACCCUGGUAGUCCACGCCCUAAACGAUGAUCACUGGGUGUUGGGGAAGCGAUUCCUUGGUACCGUAGCUAACGCGUGAAGUGAUCCGCCUGGGGAGUACGGCCGCAAGGUUA